ACCGAGCACGCCGCGUGAGUGAAGAAGGUUUUCGGAUCGUAAAACUCUGUUGUUAGAGAAGAACAAGGAUGAGAGUAACUGUUCAUCCCUUGACGGUAUCUAACCAGAAAGCCACGGCUAACUACGUGCCAGCAGCCGCGGUAAUACGUAGGUGGCAAGCGUUGUCCGGAUUUAUUGGGCGUAAAGCGAGCGCAGGCGGUUUCUUAAGUCUGAUGUGAAAGCCCCCGGCUCAACCGGGGAGGGUCAUUGGAAACUGGGAGACUUGAGUGCAGAAGAGGAGAGUGGAAUUCCAUGUGUAGCGGUGAAAUGCGUAGAUAUAUGGAGGAACACCAGUGGCGAAGGCGGCUCUCUGGUCUGUAACUGACGCUGAGGCUCGAAAGCGUGGGGAGCAAACAGGAUUAGAUACCCUGGUAGUCCACGCCGUAAACGAUGAGUGCUAAGUGUUGGAGGGUUUCCGCCCUUCAGUGCUGCAGCUAACGCAUUAAGCACUCCGCCUGGGGAGUACGACCGCAAGGUUGAAACU
This 523-nucleotide ribosomal RNA is filed under the name uncultured Enterococcus sp. RNAcentral describes it as "bacterial SSU rRNA". It matches the Rfam family "Bacterial small subunit ribosomal RNA", at positions 386 to 901 of the family's 1533-position model. Lineage: Bacteria; Bacillati; Bacillota; Bacilli; Lactobacillales; Enterococcaceae. The record is from RNAcentral.